AUUGAACGCUGGCGGAAUGCUUGACACAUGCAAGUCGAACGGCAGCACGGACUUCGUUCUGGUGGCCGGUGGCGAACGGGUGAGUGAUGAAUCGGAACGUGCCCAGUCGUGGGGGAUCACGGAAUGAACAUUACGCUAAUACCGCAUACGAACUCUGGAUGAAGUCGGGGGAUCGCAAGACCUGCCACGGUUGGAGCGGCCGACGUCAGAUUAGGUAGGUGGUGGGGUAAAGGCCCACCAAGCCAACGAUCUGUAGCUGGUCUGAGAGGACGACCAGCCACACUGGAACUGAGACACGGUCCAGACUCCUACGGGAGGCAGCAGCGGGGAAUUUUGGACAAUGGGCGAAAGCCUGAUCCAGCCAUUCCGCGUGCAGGAUGAAGGCCCUCGGGUUGUAAACUGCUUUUAUACAGAACGAAGAGGUUUCUACUAAUACUAGGAGCUCAUGACGGUACUGUAAGAAUAAGCACCGGCUAACUACGUGCCAGCCGCCGCGGUAA
This 500-nucleotide ribosomal RNA is filed under the name uncultured bacterium. RNAcentral's name for it is "partial 16S ribosomal RNA". It matches the Rfam family "Bacterial small subunit ribosomal RNA", at positions 30 to 523 of the family's 1533-position model. The record is from RNAcentral.